CCUACGGGGGGCAGCAGUGGGGAAUUUUGGACAAUGGGCGCAAGCCUGAUCCAGCCAUGCCGCGUGCAGGAUGAAGGCCUUCGGGUUGUAAACUGCUUUUGUACGGAACGAAACGGCCUUUUCUAAUAAAGAGGGCUAAUGACGGUACCGUAAGAAUAAGCACCGGCUAACUACGUGCCAGCAGCCGCGGUAAUACGUAGGGUGCAAGCGUUAAUCGGAAUUACUGGGCGUAAAGCGUGCGCAGGCGGUGAUGUAAGACAGUUGUGAAAUCCCAGGGCUCAACCCGGGAACUGCAUCUGUGACUGCAUCGAUGGAGUACGGCAGAGGGGGAUUGAAUUCCGCGUGUAUCAGUGAAAUGCGUAGAUAUGCGGAGGAACACCGAUGGCGAAGGCAAUCCCCUGGGCCUGUACUGACGCUCAUGCACGAAAGCGUGGGGAGCCAACAGGAUUAGCUACCCCUGUAGUC
RNAcentral lists this ribosomal RNA (465 nucleotides) under uncultured bacterium. RNAcentral's name for it is "bacterial SSU rRNA". It matches the Rfam family "Bacterial small subunit ribosomal RNA", at positions 338 to 795 of the family's 1533-position model. The record is from RNAcentral.